AAAGGGAGACCUAAUUCAGGUAUGGGACGAAAAAAAAGUAGUCGCUACCAAGAAUCAAUCCCAAAAGGUCGGAGCGAGGCAUGAGGCUUUCAAACUAGGUUCUGGGUUCAUAAAAGACCUGAAUCAGGAACAAGGGCUAUUAGCUCAGGUGGUUAGAGCGCACCCCUGAUAAGGGUGAGGUCCCUGGUUCGAGUCCAGGAUGGCCCACCUGCACAGGUGGCAAAAACAAGAGAAGCGAGGAAUCAGCACCUUAUCUUACUUAUAUAGUAAGAGAGAAUGCUGGCUCUGAGUAAAGAGUCCAGAGGAACCUUGAAAACUGCAUAGAGCUAGGUGAAAAAGCCAAAAAAGAAGACCGCAAG
Molecule: transfer RNA, 359 nt
Filed under: uncultured Microcystis sp.
Lineage: Bacteria; Bacillati; Cyanobacteriota; Cyanophyceae; Chroococcales; Microcystaceae
Description: partial 16S-23S ribosomal RNA intergenic spacer
Rfam family: tRNA (bases 134-207)
Source: RNAcentral